Homo sapiens (human) is the source of this 1071-nucleotide non-coding RNA. NCBI's taxonomy places the organism in Eukaryota, Metazoa, Chordata, Mammalia, Primates, Hominidae. The record is from RefSeq and is a predicted model, not a curated record.
GAGACACUGCUAAGCCUCCAUCAAGAUGGCAUUUUCUCUUACUGCAGUAUAAUCUUGCAAUGGUGGUUUCAAAAGCUGACUGGAAGAAAGCGGAAGGAAUGCUUGCCUCAUCUUGAAGACAUCAGGUGCAUUCCUGAGAAGCUACAGAGGGCCUCCAAAACUGUAUAUGCUUUCAGCCCUAAAAAACCAGAUCCGACCAGGGUGGAGCCAAGAUGGCCAAAUAGGAAUAGCUCCAGUCUACAGCUCCCAGCGUGAGCGACGCAGAAGACGGUGAUUUCUGCAUUUCCAUCUGAGGGGAAAGCACAAACAAAAUCCCCCACUACCACAAAUUAUGCAGUUGAGUUUCCCACAUUUGGUGAAAUCACAGGUGUCAGCACAUCCAGAGUGCAAUGGAUAAGACUUGCCAUGGGAAAACCAUCUAUGUGAUCAUGGUAUCUCCCCUGCCAGAUGGAAUCUUGCUCUGUUGCCCAGGCUGGAGUGCAGUGGCAUGAUCUCGGCUCACUGAAACCUCCACCUCUCGGGUACAAGGGAUCUCCUGCCUCAGCCUCCCAAGUAGCUGGGAUUACAGGCGCCCACCACUACGCCCAGCUAAGUUUUGUAUUUGUAGUAGAGACAGGGUUUCACCAUGUUGGCGAGGCUGGUCUCAAACUCCUGACCUCAGAUGAUCAGCCCCCUUCUGCCUCCCAAAGAGUGGGGAUUACAGGCGUGAGCCACCAUGCCCGGCCAAUCAGAUUUUCUAAGUAAGUAUUUAAGAACCAAAACAAUUUCUAAUGCAAUAUAAUGCCCCAAAUUGAACUUCAACCAAAUGUAAAUCAGUACAUUUGUAAGGUCUCCUUUUAAUAUAUGCUAAUUUAAAAUAUAUACAUAUUUCACUGAUUUUAAUGUACAAAUUAGUAAGUAUUUUUGCAAGAUAAAGAACAAAACUAUAAAGUUUCACAAACAGAAAUGGAUCUAAUGGGUCAUUUAGGGAGAAAGUUGUCUCUCUCUAAGAAGUUUUACUAGACUAAAGCACAAGAUAUUGUAUUAGUCUGUUUUCAUGCUGCUGAUAAAGCCAUAUCUGAGACUGGGAAG